UGAGUCUGCGUAGCUUGGUUGUGAAGCAGUCGGAAAGCUAUCAGUGAGCGAAAUGCCAAGAAUUUUGUUUUACAAAUCGCUGAAUGAUCUCAGUACCGCGGAUUUUUACACAGAGAGAAAGAGAAAAAAAUCUAGAUUCUACGAGAUCGAAAGAGUCGUUUCAAAAAGAGUCAGUAAGAAAAAGAUUGAAUAUUUCAUCAAGUGGAAGGGCUACUCGAGCCUACAAAACUCCUGGGAGCCAGAAGAGAAUUUAAACGCCUUUGCUUUGAGGUCAUUCAACAACCCAAGGCUCACACAGCAAGAGAUUGCUGAUGCCAAUUCUUUCCCGGGACUGUGAGAAGUUCCAUUAGUAGACUAUAUCGACCUGAACGGCAAGCUUUGCAAUUUCGUCGAAUCUUGCACUCUCCCUAAAACUGCUAUGGAGACUUACGAACUCUUCAAUACCAACUUUGAGCGCCAUUACACGACCAACAGAGCUCCCUUUUACAUGCUCUUAGAGGAACAGUGGCUAGCUAACAGCACUUAUUACAAAGGAACCGUAGACUUUCUAAAAACAUUGACGUCCAUGAGCGACGUAUGGAUAGUCACGGUUUCCCAAGCCAUUGAGUGGAUCAAGUUUCCAACACCACUAGAAAAUAUUGAGGACUUUGUUCCCUGGAAAUGUGAUUCCCAACCCCCACCCGACUGUCCUCUUGGCACUUGCAAAACGUGUUACUAUCCCCCGGAUCACGUGAUGAAGACGUGCGCCCCGCUGUGUCCGCCAAAUUACCCAUGGGUAGGAAACCCAGAUGGAAACUGAUCCAGAUAAAAUUGGACCUGAAUGGAAACUGACCCGGAUGAAACCUUACCCAUAUAGUUACUGACAAAGGGCGAAUGCUCAUAACGUUAGCUUUAGAAACUCUUUUACCACGUCCCGAUUAUGCUCUUAAAAUGCUGGAAAGUUGCUCAUCGGAAUAUCAAAAGUUGCUAAAAUUUGGAACCUUCUUCCUGUUUCAAUCAAAUCUAAUUUGUCAAAUCUUAGCUUUGAGACGAAAAUGCACGAGUUUUCUCUUCCUGUUUCAAAUAAAAUCAAUCAAAUUUUCCUAGCUUUGAGGCGAAAAUGCACGAGUUUUUACUUAAAUGAUCACUAAUUUGGCCGAGCUGCACAUUUGCAGCGCUUAUUCUUUUUUGAAUACAUUGUUGUAAGUGAGUUGAAUCGGCUUCCUGGGUAACCUCGCCUUCUAUAAAUUUUAAUG
Non-coding RNA from Pocillopora verrucosa, 1235 nucleotides. Lineage: Eukaryota; Metazoa; Cnidaria; Anthozoa; Scleractinia; Pocilloporidae. The record is from RefSeq and is a predicted model, not a curated record.